RNAcentral lists this long non-coding RNA (560 nucleotides) under Linum usitatissimum (flax). RNAcentral's name for it is "long non-coding RNA (LUSI_LNC002964)". The record is from RNAcentral. Lineage: Eukaryota; Viridiplantae; Streptophyta; Magnoliopsida; Malpighiales; Linaceae.
UUCUCAGCCCCACUCUCACCAUUAGUUACAUCACUGUCAUCCUUAACCACAUGCAACCCCUCAGCUCAACUCUUCCCAUGAUCCAUAUACCAUAUCCCAUCUACUGCACUAUACUUGGCAUGUCGAAUCCCAAGAUAUUGGAGCUCAAAUAAACCCAUUAAAUUGGUAAGAAGGAAUAAGGUCUUUGAAGUCCAACCAACAUAAGUGGGUUCUGGACCACUAAAAUACAUAACACCACCACUAAACAAGCGGAUUUCAAUGGUGGCAGCCAUGCUGCAAAGGAGACCAAGAAAGCACAUCAAUUCAUUUGAUCAACCAAGUUCAUCUAUGAACGAAGUAAAAAAGGUACAAUUAUGUAGGAUCACCAAGUUUAAGCUACCAACCACACAAACAAAACCUCACACAUGCAAGCUACCAACCACAAACUGCCAAUUCUACCGUGAAUGUCAAAAUAUGCCACAACACAGCCCUUUCCACUGUCACUGUUUUACUAAAGCUGCUAAAAAGUAUUCGAUUAGGAUAGUUACUUCACCUUAUGGUCCCAAGAAGAUUGAAACCCG